Long non-coding RNA from Sus scrofa (pig), 1232 nucleotides. RefSeq lists it as uncharacterized. Lineage: Eukaryota; Metazoa; Chordata; Mammalia; Artiodactyla; Suidae. The record is from RefSeq and is a predicted model, not a curated record.
CUCUCUGAGAUAGUGCCCUUGGGUUCUGCUCCAGCAACACAUCAUGGAAACGUCCGCACACCCUGGGCAGAGCCUGGCCGUGGAAUUUCACUCUCUGUUAGUCUGGUUAACGCGGUGCCAAGGCACAGGCACAGCUCCUGCCCUCCGGCGUCCAGCUCCCUCUAGCACUCUCUGGCACUCUCUGCUGGCCAAGGGGGACUGUGGUGGGCAGAGUUGCUGCCAGAAGCUGGGCACAGAGGUGGGUGCGGACCCGAGCUCACAACUUCACCACCAGCAUCCUGUGAAAAUUAAAGGGAAACUCGCUCCAAUGGAGUUGGGACGCCUGAAGGGGGAGCUCUCAUGUACCCACCUCUUGAGGUCAGUACAGAUCCCAACAGGAAGAGACCUACUUUGCAUCUCUGGCAGGAAGUGACACUACUGCCAGCAGGAAGAAAGAAGAUUCUUCUCCUUACCGGGCAACAGGCCAGCCAAUGAGAGACCUUCACAGCCCAGCCAAUGAAAAGCCACUACACUGCGACCUUGCAGUUUCCUCCAAUGGGUUCUUGGUUCACAACAGCCCCUCCCAAUUCCCCUUCUCCUCUAAAAAAGAAUUUCCGCUUUGCUUUACCAGACUUGCAGUCCUUCUCCACAGCUGUGUUCUUUGCCGAUCGCAGAUUGCAGUCCUUUGUGAUUCCAGGAUAAAUCCAUUUUGCUGAGACCCAGCGCCUCGUCUGUUUCCCUACGUGUGGCUCUAGGUGGCCUGAAAAAAGCAAGUUAUCCUGACGGCAUCUUCAGCUGCACGACUUGCUGACCAGCCCCGUGCUCGGCCUGAGAGAGGGAACCUUAGUAGAGGAUGUACCGGGGCCAGAGCCGGAGAAGGACGUUUUGGACCCAUGGGCGCGCCUGUUCACAGACGCAGAGGCUCGGAGAGCCUGCGUGUCCAGGACGACGCGUAUCAGGAGAGGGGGUCCCUGGCUGUGUUCCCGCUCUGUCCUCCCUAUAGCUCCCCGCACACCCGGAUGUGGCCCCGUGGAGCCGGCCCCCGGGGGCCCGGCAGCUCUCAGAGCGUCUGAGAUGCUGGUCUCCCUGGAAGGCUGCUUCCUCUGCUCAAAGUGGCCCUCCGUUUCUCACUUUUCUGUUUCGAAGGCUGCAUACGAGUGUACCUUCGGCAUGCGUCUCUUUUGGAGAACCUGUCACCUUGAAAGUCGUGCUGCCCAUACAGCAACCCCCCCCCCCAGCAUGGGGAGGGGCCC